GAUGAACGCUGGCGGCGUGCCUAAUACAUGCGAGUCGAGCGAACAGACGAGGAGCUUGCUCCUCUGACGUUAGCGGCGGACGGGUGAGUAACACGUGGAUAACCUACCUAUAAGACUGGGAUAACUUCGGGAAACCGGAGCUAAUACCGGAUAAUAUAUUGAACCGCAUGGUUCAAUAGUGAAAGACGGUUUUGCUGUCACUUAUAGAUGGAUCCGCGCCGCAUUAGCUAGUUGGUAAGGUAACGGCUUACCAAGGCAACGAUGCGUAGCCGACCUGAGAGGGUGAUCGGCCACACUGGAACUGAGACACGGUCCAGACUCCUACGAGAGGCAGCAGUAGGGAAUCUUCCGCAAUGGGCGAAAGCUUGACGGAGCAACGCCGCGUGAGUGAUGAAGGUCUUCGGAUCGUAAAACUCUGUUAUUAGGGAAGAACAAAUGUGUAAGUAACUAUGCACGUCUUGACGGUACCUAAUCAGAAAGCCACGGCUAACUACGUG
This 497-nucleotide ribosomal RNA is filed under the name uncultured bacterium. Its description in RNAcentral is "partial 16S ribosomal RNA". It matches the Rfam family "Bacterial small subunit ribosomal RNA", at positions 28 to 507 of the family's 1533-position model. The record is from RNAcentral.